UUUUUUCCAUCUCUUCUGAUUCUAAAUCUAGAUCUACAAAAUUAAACCCAAUAUUUGAGAGUUAAAACCCAUUUCUCCUAAACCCUUAUCUCAUAUCAAAACUAAAUCACUCAAUCUUUUAAUAAAUCAAAUUAAUCUCUUCUUCUAGAGAUGAACUAAUGGAUCUUGCAGGGUACUGUUCUGUAAAGAUUUUGUUUGCUUGAUUCCAACCGCAAGUUUCUUUCUAUGGUGAGAACUAAUAAAUCAUGCAAAUUAUUGAUGGUGGUUUGGUAUUGAAGAUGGAGGUUCUGCAGAUGUUGGCAUGUGGGUGGCUAUUGGAGUUGUUGGUGCUAGUUUGUUGAUAAUGCUGCUGUUUUAUAAGCCUGUUCUCUUAUAAUAUUAAUACAUGGUGGAGAUCUGAGAUACUGUCAGAAACACCCCUGGUAUAAAGCCCUUUCCGAACACCCCACUGUCGUGUUUGCAAGAGAUGUGUUUUA
Long non-coding RNA from Papaver somniferum (opium poppy), 476 nucleotides. RefSeq lists it as uncharacterized. The transcript has 4 exons. Lineage: Eukaryota; Viridiplantae; Streptophyta; Magnoliopsida; Ranunculales; Papaveraceae. The record is from RefSeq and is a predicted model, not a curated record.